CGGAAUUACCUAUGGUAAUUGGUAGAGGAGCAUUCUGUAAGGAUGAAGCACAAUUGAAAGAGAGUGUGGACGAAACAGAAGAGAGAAUGCCGGAAUGAGUAGCGAGAUAUAUGUGAGAAUCAUAUAGGUCGAAUGUCUAAGGUUUCCUGGGUAAAGCUGAUCUGCUCAGGGUAAGUCGGGACCUAAGGUGAGGGCGAGAGCCGUAAUCGAUGGACAACAGGUAGAAAUUCCUGUACUACGUAUAAUCAGAACUGUGGGGACGCAGGAGGAUAGGAAAACCGGAGAAUGGAAAAAUCCGGCUAAGUACAAAGGUGUGAGUGAUAGGCAAAUCCGUCACUAUUAGCUGAAGUACGAAUGGGAGCGAAGAAAAGUAGCGAAGUUUCUGAAUCCACACUGUCAAGAAAAGCCGCUAUUGCGUUAUACGUACCCGUACCGCAAACCGACACAGGUAGACGAGGAGAAAAUCCACAGACCGACGGGAGAAGUGUUGUUAAGGAACUCGGCAAAAUGACUCCGUAACUUAGGGAUAAGGGGAGCCAACGCAAGUUGGUCACAGAAAAGAGGCUCAAGCGACUGUUUAGCAAAAACAUAGGUCUAUGCGAAACCGUAAGGUGAUGUAUAUGGGCUGACACCUGCCCGGUGCUGGAAGGUCAAAAGGAGAGGUUAGCGUAAGCGAAGCUUUGAAUUCAAGCCCCAGUAAACGGCGGCCGUAACUAUAACGGUCCUAAGGUAGCGAAAUUCCUUGUCAGGUAAGUUCUGACCCGCACGAAAGGUGUAACGAUUUGAGCACUGUCUCGACAACACGCCCGGUGAAAUUGAAGAACCAGUGAAGAUACUGGUUACCCGCAACAGGACGGAAAGACCCCAUGGAGCUUUACUGCAGCUUAAUAUUGGGAUUCGGUAUUGUAUGUACAGGAUAGGAGGGAGACUAAGAAGCUAGCACGCCAGUGUUGGUGGAGUCGAUGGUGGGAUACCUCUCUUAUAAUACUGAAUUUCUAACCUACUUCCGUGAUCCGGAAGAGGGACAUUGUUAGGCGGGCAGUUUGACUGGGGCGGUCGCCUCCGAAAGAGUAACGGAGGCGCUCAAAGGUCUUCUCAGAAUGAUUGGAAACCAUUCAAAGAGUGUAAAGGCAAAAGAAGGCUUGACUGCGAGAGUGACAACUCGAGCAGGUACGAAAGUAGGACUUAGUGAUCCGG
RNAcentral lists this ribosomal RNA (1197 nucleotides) under human gut metagenome. RNAcentral describes it as "bacterial LSU rRNA". It matches the Rfam family "Bacterial large subunit ribosomal RNA", at positions 1203 to 2423 of the family's 2925-position model. The record is from RNAcentral.